Long non-coding RNA from Tupaia belangeri chinensis (Chinese tree shrew), 317 nucleotides. RefSeq lists it as uncharacterized. The transcript is spliced from 3 exons. NCBI's taxonomy places the organism in Eukaryota, Metazoa, Chordata, Mammalia, Scandentia, Tupaiidae. The record is from RefSeq and is a predicted model, not a curated record.
AAUCACAAAUAAGAUUCACUAGUAGGUGAUCCAGACCUAGACCUUCAUGUUGUCCAUCAUUCUUUUACCAGCCUCCUCCUUCAACUCACACCUAUGACUACACAGGGUAAUCCUUUAAGGCCUCCAACCAGACACAAAGAAAGAGGGAGAGAAAGAGAUAGCACCCUCAACGGGGCCUUGAAGCUACCAACUAUUCCCCAACUUCAGCCAACCUGGAUCAUUGGGUAGACACAAACCCAGAACCUUUCCAUGAAGGUCAGCAUCACAUAGCAUCAAGAUUAACACAUGUACCCUAUGGCAAAAACCUCUUUAUAAAA